This 253-nucleotide ribosomal RNA is filed under the name uncultured bacterium. Its description in RNAcentral is "partial 16S ribosomal RNA". It matches the Rfam family "Bacterial small subunit ribosomal RNA", at positions 524 to 776 of the family's 1533-position model. The record is from RNAcentral.
UACGUAGGGUGCGAGCGUUAAUCGGAAUUACUGGGCGUAAAGCGUGCGCAGGCGGUUCGUUAUGUCCGAUGUGAAAGCCCCGAGCUCAACUUGGGAAUGGCAUUGGAAACUGGCGGGCUGGAGUGUGGCAGAGGGGGGUGGAAUUCCACGUGUAGCAGUGAAAUGCGUAGAGAUGUGGAGGAACACCGAUGGCGAAGGCAGCCCCCUGGGCCAACACUGACGCUCAGGCACGAAAGCUAGGGGAGCGAACGGG